Molecule: ribosomal RNA, 233 nt
Filed under: uncultured bacterium
Lineage: Bacteria
Description: partial 16S ribosomal RNA
Rfam family: Bacterial small subunit ribosomal RNA
Source: RNAcentral
UGAGGAACAUGACCUUCGGCGGGGGAUAGCCGGCCCAACGGCCGGGUAAUACCGCGUACGACCACAUGGGGACAUCCAUGAGUGGUGAAAGCAGCAAUGCGCCGAUGGAGUGCCUCGCGGCCUAUCAGCUAGUUGGUGAGGUAACGGCUCACCAAGGCGACGACGGGUAGCUGGUCUGAGAGGAUGGCCAGCCACAGUUGGGACUGAGAUACCGGCCCAGACUCCGUACGGGG